Molecule: transfer RNA, 64 nt
Filed under: Dipodomys ordii (Ord's kangaroo rat)
Lineage: Eukaryota; Metazoa; Chordata; Mammalia; Rodentia; Heteromyidae
Rfam family: tRNA
About the family: Transfer RNA (tRNA) molecules are approximately 80 nucleotides in length. Their secondary structure includes four short double-helical elements and three loops (D, anti-codon, and T loops).
Source: Rfam by way of RNAcentral
AUGUGGCUUAAUGGUAGAGUGCUUGCCUAGCAUGCAUGAAGCCCUGGGUUCCAUUCCCCAGUAU